GAUGAACGCUGGCGGCGUGCUUAACACAUGCAAGUCGAACGAUGAAGCCCAGCUUGCUGGGUGGAUUAGUGGCGAACGGGUGAGUAACACGUGAGUAACCUGCCCUUAACUCUGGGAUAAGCCUGGGAAACUGGGUCUAAUACCGGAUAGGAGCGUCCACCGCAUGGUGGGUGUUGGAAAGAUUUAUCGGUUUUGGAUGGACUCGCGGCCUAUCAGCUUGUUGGUGAGGUAAUGGCUCACCAAGGCGACGACGGGUAGCCGGCCUGAGAGGGUGACCGGCCACACUGGGACUGAGACACGGCCCAGACUCCUACGGGAGGCAGCAGUGGGGAAUAUUGCACAAUGGGCGCAAGCCUGAUGCAGCGACGCCGCGUGAGGGAUGACGGCCUUCGGGUUGCAAACCUCUUUCAGUAGGGAAGAAGCGAAAGUGACGGUACCUGCAGAAGAAGCACCGGCUAACUACGUG
This 466-nucleotide ribosomal RNA is filed under the name uncultured bacterium. RNAcentral describes it as "partial 16S ribosomal RNA". It matches the Rfam family "Bacterial small subunit ribosomal RNA", at positions 28 to 507 of the family's 1533-position model. The record is from RNAcentral.